AUGAAGCCGUCGCAGAAAUUAGAAUCGGGACUCCUAUAUAUUACAUAUUUAUAUAUAAUUUAAUAUAAGAAUAUUAAAUUACGCCCGUCUAUCAAGAACGUGUCUAAAUAUAUUCUAAUCAUUGGAUUAAUUAUUGUAUCUUUAUAGAUCAUCCUGAAUACAUGCGCCUUGAAUAAAUCACGUGGGUUACAUUCAACAAUUUUUGCCAAAAAAAAAGAAAUAAAGAAAAAUGCUAAUAACUUGCAAGCAAAAUAUAUAUAUAUAUAUAUAUAUAUAUAUAUAUAUAUAUAUAUAUAUAUAGAGUUGAGCUAGAAUACUUGUAAAAGUAUUAUGUGAGUGAUGAUUUUGAGUUUUUAGCCAUUGGAUGGAGAAAUAUGAGGUUGAGAUGAUGGUGGUAGGUGGUAGUAGGUGGUGGUAGGUGGAAUAGUGUUUGAUCCAAAGGCUAUUAGUAAUCAAGAAGUAGAUCCAAC
This 470-nucleotide long non-coding RNA is filed under the name Ananas comosus (pineapple). RNAcentral describes it as "long non-coding RNA (ACOM_LNC038490)". Lineage: Eukaryota; Viridiplantae; Streptophyta; Magnoliopsida; Poales; Bromeliaceae. The record is from RNAcentral.